This 253-nucleotide ribosomal RNA is filed under the name uncultured bacterium. RNAcentral's name for it is "partial 16S ribosomal RNA". It matches the Rfam family "Bacterial small subunit ribosomal RNA", at positions 524 to 776 of the family's 1533-position model. The record is from RNAcentral.
UACGGAGGGUGCGAGCGUUGUCCGGAAUCAUUGGGCGUAAAGGGCGCGUAGGUGGCGGGACAAGCGUGCGGUGAAAGCUCGGGGCUCAACCCCGCGUCGGCCGUGCGAACUGCUUUGCUUGAGCACUGUAGAGGCAGGCGGAAUUCCGGGUGUAGCGGUGGAAUGCGUAGAGAUCCGGAAGAACACCGGUGGCGAAGGCGGCCUGCUGGGCAGUAGCUGACACUGAGGCGCGACAGCGUGGGGAGCAAACAGG